CAGUGUUGCCGCGACGUCAUGAAAAAAUUGUAUCGUAAAAGAUACAAAAAAUGGAUCAAAUGUAUCACAACUUUUUUAAUUAGGU
Rhagoletis zephyria (snowberry fruit fly) is the source of this 85-nucleotide long non-coding RNA. RefSeq lists it as uncharacterized. The record is from RefSeq and is a predicted model, not a curated record. NCBI's taxonomy places the organism in Eukaryota, Metazoa, Arthropoda, Insecta, Diptera, Tephritidae.